CGAAAGCCUGACGGAGCAACGCCGCGUGAGGGAUGAAGGCCUCUGGGCUGUAAACCUCUUUUAUCAAGGAAGAAGAUCUGACGGUACUUGAUGAAUAAGCCACGGCUAAUUCCGUGCCAGCAGCCGCGUUAAUACGGGAGUGGCAAGCGUUAUCCGGAAUUAUUGGGCGUAAAGCGUCCGCAGCCGGCUUUGUAAGUCUGCCGUUAAAGCGUGGAGCUCAACUCCAUUUCAGCGGUGGAAACUACAAGGCUUGAGUGUGGUAGGGGCAGAGGUUAUUCCCGGUGUAGCGGUGAAAUGCGUAGAUAUCGGGAAGAACACCAGUGGCGAAGGCUUUCUGCUGGCACAUAACUGACGCUCAUGGACGAAAGCCAGGGGAGCG
RNAcentral lists this ribosomal RNA (379 nucleotides) under uncultured cyanobacterium. Its description in RNAcentral is "bacterial SSU rRNA". It matches the Rfam family "Bacterial small subunit ribosomal RNA", at positions 376 to 770 of the family's 1533-position model. The record is from RNAcentral. Lineage: Bacteria; Bacillati; Cyanobacteriota.